UAAAGAUUUUAAGUUAAUUAAUAAAACUAUUAAUCUUCAAAAUUAAAAAUAUAAAUAUUAAAUCUUA
This 67-nucleotide transfer RNA is filed under the name Schlechtendalia peitan. RNAcentral describes it as "tRNA-Trp". The record is from RNAcentral. Lineage: Eukaryota; Metazoa; Arthropoda; Insecta; Hemiptera; Aphididae.